Long non-coding RNA from Prionailurus viverrinus (fishing cat), 348 nucleotides. RefSeq lists it as uncharacterized. The transcript has 4 exons. Lineage: Eukaryota; Metazoa; Chordata; Mammalia; Carnivora; Felidae. The record is from RefSeq and is a predicted model, not a curated record.
GUCUGGAAAAUAAUCUGGGCAGUAUUGAUGGGACAGUACUCCAGCCGGUGUAUCAUCCCAGCACAGCCAUCCAUCCCAGUUUGACUUGGAGACGAUCAUGUCCCAAGACAUUCUAAAUAAAUUCAUAAAACCCAACUUCUAUGUUAAAAAUCCUGUGUGGCAGAAAUGAACUAUGACACUAAAGAAAAUACCACGCUGUGAAGCUGUGACUCAGCUAAACCAUAAUGAAGAUCUAUGCCAGACAGUGAAACUCCACCAUGGAUCAGCAUGGGCCAUCAGGCCGUAUUUGAAGACCAUCAUUUUAAAGGCUACGUGGGACGUGGAAAAAUCAUGGAAGGGUAGCAAACA